CACCAGCGCCACAAGUGGGGAUCACAUUUAUUUGGCCUAAAGCGUUCGUAGCCGGCUCGUUAAAUCCUUUGUGAAAUCGUUUCGUUCAAUCAAACGACGUGCGGGGGAGACUGGCGAGCUCGGGACUGGGAGGAGUCAGGAGUAUGCAGGGGGAGCAGUAAAAUGCUAUAAUCCCCUGGAGACUACCGGUGGCGAAGGCGCCUGACCAGAACAGAUCCGACGGUGAGGAACGAAAGCUAGGGGAGCAAUC
This 250-nucleotide ribosomal RNA is filed under the name uncultured archaeon. Its description in RNAcentral is "partial 16S ribosomal RNA". It matches the Rfam family "Archaeal small subunit ribosomal RNA", at positions 474 to 724 of the family's 1478-position model. The record is from RNAcentral.